RNAcentral lists this long non-coding RNA (544 nucleotides) under Zonotrichia albicollis (white-throated sparrow). RNAcentral describes it as "lncRNA (ENSZALG00000000793.1)". Lineage: Eukaryota; Metazoa; Chordata; Aves; Passeriformes; Passerellidae. The record is from RNAcentral.
CAGCAGUGGCUGCCCAGUCCAGAUGUGGCACUGAGAGCACUCCCCUGCAGGUACUGUAGAGGCCCUAAUUUUUUUUGAACAUUUGCUGAUAGCAUCAGGAUCUGCAGUGGCUGAACAACUGGAAAGCGUUCAUGGUACGGAGAAAGACACGAGACAAAUAUCCAGGUCUCCUGGAAUAUGUAUGGACUAUGGCAUGACUUGCUGGAUAAAUCAUCUUCCACUGAUACAACUGGAAAUCUCAGUCUGCCCAUCAGCAAUUAUACCAUAACACAAGCUGCAGUGACCUGGGUACCAAGCACAAGAACAGAGACAUGUUAAACCAAAAAGGUCUUUUUGGAUGCAUAAAUUGUUCUCCUGACUGCUACCAGACCUGCUAGAAAAACAGUCUAUUUCAUUCACAAGCAGAUCAUUAGGAAGAGCUGCUUUGCCUUACUUCUGGAUUUAAGGAAUAUCCUGUCUUAUGUGCUUCUGUUAUAAGCAACCCUUCUGUGGUUUAUCAGGUGAGUUAAAAUAAAAUCAAGUUACUUUUUUGAGAAAAUACUCA